AGCCCAAACAUUUAAAUAAUACUCUAGCUAUUUUUUCUGCUCAACUGGAUUUUUCUUGACUCAAACGAAGCACUUGUAUUGUUUACAGAUGCUCUAAUUCUGUGCAUGUGUGCACAAAUGUUCUAACAUAGGUGCUUAUAUUGUUUCAUCUACCGUGGAGGAAGCUUUCCAAAUGAUUUGUGAAUAUCUAAAGGACGAACCAGACUUGAUUCACUUUUAGUUUUUAAAAAAUAGUAUUUCUUUGCUUGUCCAUGCUCAAGCUCCAAAAAAAUUAUUUUGUUGCAGAUAAGAUAUGAAUGAGCUCAUCAAUGAUGUGACAAUCAAAAUUAGUGACGCUACAACUCGAUCAACAGCUGCAAGGGGACGUAAGCAGAAUGCUCGGGUUAACUAAGGUCACCGGAUUAUUGAACAUGAAUGCAAAUCGGAAGGCAUUUUGAGUAAUUAAAAGCAAAUAUAUUUAGCAGUUGGGAGCACAUAUUGAGUAUACUUUGCAAAUUUUGAUUCACAUUGUGCAGCAAUGAAAAUUGUAGGCAAAUCAAUAGGUAACUUUGUAGGUCUGAAAAUUGUGUUCUAAGAAACAUGAUGUUGCAUGACAUUUA
Long non-coding RNA from Panicum virgatum (switchgrass), 599 nucleotides. RefSeq lists it as uncharacterized. Lineage: Eukaryota; Viridiplantae; Streptophyta; Magnoliopsida; Poales; Poaceae. The transcript has 2 exons. The record is from RefSeq and is a predicted model, not a curated record.